GUGGUACGAAAAUUCUGCACGCCAUUUCUUUUGGUCUAUGGAAAAGGUGACAUGAGCCUUCCUGGAUUUCAGAGCCCACCCUUUCAAGUUUCUUUGUGUUUGUUGUUUCCUCAGCAUUCAAACUCAAGUUGAAACAAGAACCAACACUCUGGGUUACAUUGAACCUUCAGUGCAUAUAUGUUUAUGUAUGUGUCACUGGUAGAUUUACAUUUUGAUUGGAAGUGACAGUUCCCAAUGACGAUGUGGUUGUUAAAAGAUGUAUGCUUUAGAAAGCUUCUGGUACAUCCAGAAAUUGUGCAAUAUAAAUUCCACAACUGUUUUCUGAAUUACUGAUGACAGCAAUGUCAUCUCCAGAAACAUCCAGUUCAAUGCAUUCCUGUUGAAAAUUUCUUGGAUGUUUUAUCGGUUGUAAUUUCAUAUCACUGAAUGCUAUAUUCUCUGAUCUU
This 446-nucleotide long non-coding RNA is filed under the name Mytilus galloprovincialis (Mediterranean mussel). The record is from RNAcentral. Lineage: Eukaryota; Metazoa; Mollusca; Bivalvia; Mytilida; Mytilidae.